AUGGCGACGACGGUGGUGCCGCUCGCCGCGGCCAUGGCCGCCGCUCCAAGGUCUCUCCUCCUGGGCGCUCCAGACCCCUUCCCGUUCCUCGGGAUCCGCCCGCUCCUCUGCCGCUCUCCGCGCGGCGUCGCCUGCGCCCUUCGCCGACCUUCCAAGUACAAGAAUAAAAUUAAGAACGAGGUGGUGGUAGCAGAGGAUGACAUUGAUGGCAGUGACGAGGAUGACGACGACGACGAGGGUGGGUUGGAAGCGCUUUUCAAGCAGCUGGAAGAAGAUCUGAAGAACGACGAUUUGUCUGUCGAGGAUGAUGAUGAUGAUGAUGAAAUAUCAGAGGAAGACAUGGCCAGGUUUGAACAGGUAUUGGCAGAAGCCAUUGGAGAUGUCGAUGUUGCUGAUGAAUCUGCAGUAGAUUUGGUGUCAGGCUCCGAAGUUGUUGGUAAUGAUGAGGCAGCAGAUCCAGUCGAACGGCCAGAGCUUAAAAGCUGGCAGCUCCGGAGAUUGGCUCGUGCAAUGCAAAUUGGUCGGCGUAAAACUAGUAUAAAGAAUCUUGCAGGGGAGCUUGGCCUGGAUAGGGGUUUGGUCAUUGAAUUGCUCCGCAAUCCGCCUCCAGAACUUCUACUUAUGUCUGAUUCUUUGCCUGAUGAAGCCCCCUCUAAACCUGAAACUAAGGAAAUAGAGCCCUCUCCAGUAGCUGAUGAGGUUGUAGUUGAUGAGAUUGAUGCCACUGAAGCCAAUCCACAGAUGGACCUUCCGGUUCAUGUCAUGAGCACAGAAUGGUCUGCGCAGAAAAGGCUGAAAAAGGCGCAACUGGAAACACUGGAAAAGGUUUACUUCAAAUCCAAACGCCCCACUAAUACUAUGAUCAGUAGCAUAGUUCAAGUUACAAGCCUUCCACGAAAGACCAUUAUUAAGUGGUUUGAGGAUAGAAGGGAGCAAGAUGGUGUACCAGACCGUCGUGCCGCAUACAUGAGAUCCCUAUCUGAGACAAUGGCUAGUUGA
RNAcentral lists this ribosomal RNA (999 nucleotides) under Triticum aestivum (bread wheat). RNAcentral's name for it is "partial small subunit ribosomal RNA". The record is from RNAcentral. Lineage: Eukaryota; Viridiplantae; Streptophyta; Magnoliopsida; Poales; Poaceae.